GGUGAACGCUGGCGGCGUGCCUAAUACAUGCAAGUCGAGCGAACAGACGAGGAGCUUGCUCCUCUGACGUUAGCGGCGGACGGGUGAGUAACACGUGGAUAACCUACCUAUAAGACUGGGAUAACUUCGGGAAACCGGAGCUAAUACCGGAUAAUAUAUUGAACCGCAUGGUUCAAUAGUGAAAGACGGUUUUGCUGUCACUUAUAGAUGGAUCCGCGCCGCAUUAGCUAGUUGGUAAGGUAACGGCUUACCAAGGCAACGAUGCGUAGCCGACCUGAGAGGGUGAUCGGCCACACUGGAACUGAGACACGGUCCAGACUCCUACGGGAGGCAGCAGUAGGGAAUCUUCCGCAAUGGGCGAAAGCAUGACGGAGCAACGCCGCGUGAGUGAUGAAGGUCUUCGGAUCGUAAAACUCUGUUAUUAGGGAAGAACAAAUGUGUAAGUAACUAUGCACGUCUUGACGGUACCUAAUCAGAAAGCCACGGCUAACUACGU
Molecule: ribosomal RNA, 496 nt
Filed under: uncultured bacterium
Lineage: Bacteria
Description: partial 16S ribosomal RNA
Rfam family: Bacterial small subunit ribosomal RNA
Source: RNAcentral